This 120-nucleotide ribosomal RNA is filed under the name uncultured eukaryote. RNAcentral describes it as "partial 18S ribosomal RNA". The record is from RNAcentral.
CUCCUACCGAUUUCGAGUGGUCCGGUGUAACCUUUUGGACUGCGCGGGGCUUCGUGCCUCGUAGCGGUAAAAUCAAGUAAACCAUAUCACUUAGAGGAAGGAGAAGCCGUAACAAKGUUU